Molecule: ribosomal RNA, 382 nt
Filed under: uncultured soil bacterium
Lineage: Bacteria
Description: bacterial SSU rRNA
Rfam family: Bacterial small subunit ribosomal RNA
Source: RNAcentral
AGAACGAACGCUGGCGGCAUGCCUAAUACAUGCAAGUCGAACGAACUCUUCGGAGUUAGUGGCGCACGGGUGCGUAACGCGUGGGAAUCUGCCCCUUGGUUCGGAAUAACAGUUGGAAACGACUGCUAAUACCGGAUGAUGACGAAAGUCCAAAGAUUUAUCGCCAAGGGAUGAGCCCGCGUAGGAUUAGCUAGUUGGUGAGGUAAAGGCUCACCAAGGCAACGAUCCUUAGCUGGUCUGAGAGGAUGAUCAGCCACACUGGGACUGAGACACGGCCCAGACUCCUACGGGAGGCAGCAGUAGGGAAUAUUGGACAAUGGGCGCAAGCCUGAUCCAGCCAUACCGCGUGGGUGAAGAAGGCCUUGGGUUGUAAAGCCCUUUU